CAGUUCUGUUUCGAUGACUUUUUAGUUUCCUGUAGAAACUUCUUUUUCUUAUACAGAUCUGGUUGACGGUGGCUUAGGUCUUGUGGCGAUGUAAACAUAAUAGUGGUUGAAUUUCUCUCUCGAAGGAUGAAAGAGGGUAGAUCUAUUGACAACAUCAAAAUAUAUCAACGAAAGCUUCAAAGGGAUGCAUGCGAAGAGCUUUCAAUCGGAUAGGUAUAGCUUGUCCCAGAUUUAAUCAUGGAGACAUCUUCAUAAAGAAUCAGUAGCGUCUUUCUGUCUUGUUCGUGGAAUGGUUCCUUAUAAUAUCUUUGUUAUAUGAAAAGACAGAAGGACCGGGGAGCAUGUAACGACAGAAGGACGGGGGAUAAAAUCAUAUGAAGAUCUUAGCUGAGUUUUCUAACCGAAAAGAAAGGGAUGGUGCUGAAGUUAUGCCUCAGGGUCCAAGGCGGCGCGAAACAUGGCCAUCUUAAAGGCCAGAGGAGAAGAAGUAUAACAGAAUUGUAAGACCGGCUCAUGAGGAUCCGCAGGAACAGAGAGAGAAACAGAGAGGCAACACUGAGUGGGAGAGAUAUUUACAGUUGGGAAGGAGAGACGCUGAAGAGAUUGUGCAGAAACAUAGACAGAGAAACAUCUCUGAUUGUCGGAGAUACUUAGAGAUGGGAAUGAGAGAUGGUCAAGAGAUUGUGCAGAGACAUAGACUGGUAGAGACCAGUGAUCAAAAGACUCAAGAAAGUGUGCAGCAACAUAGACAGAGAGAGACCAGUCAUGACAGAGUCAUGGUGAAGGAGACAGAGAAAUGAACGUCGGAGAUAUUUUGAGAUGGAAAGGAGAGACGGUGAAGAGAUUGUGCAGCAACAUAGUCAGAGAGAGACCAGUGAUGACAGAGUCAUGAUGAAGGAGACAGAGAAAUGAGUUACAACAAAGGGAAGGCACACUAAUCAGUUAGUAAACAUAAGUAGGAAAAGUAGAUCAUCAUCUAAUACAAUCAGCAUAUGCUUAUAUUGUUGCCUUUAUAAUUUUUGACGCAGGAUAUUAGAGAUGGAGCGUCAGAAGUACCAGUUAUGAAGAUGCAAAAAAGGACUUCGAUGUUUACUUGAGGACAGAGUUAUAUUACGAGACAGAAGGACCGGGGAGAAAGUGAUAAUAGAAAAUCUCAGGCACCGUCAUAGUGAAGGAGACAGAGAGAUGAGUUAUAAGAAAGGGAAGGCUCACAUUUUCCAGUCAGUAAAGAUCAUUCUUGAAAAGUACAUAACAUUGUCGCCAAUUUAUUUUUUGAUGCAGUAAAUUAGAGAUGGAGAGAAGCAAUUAGCAGUUAUGAAGAUGCAAAAAAAAACUUCAAUGCUUACAGGAAAACAACCAUAUUGUGAAGUAUGAAAUCCUAUUUGGAGUUUGUCUCUCUUGCGACUCAUGAUGCAUGUGAUAUCGCUAUAGAGGUGUUCUUUGCACGAGAAAAAUGAAGAAAUAAUGGUGAGAAGAAUGACCUUGGUUAAGUUGAGAUUGCAAGUAAUAUCGAAAAGAUACCAUCUCAAAUUGAAGUUUUUAUACCUGUAUGGAUGGCGUGUUGCUCAUAAGAAAGGUGGAUAAAAUUUUCGAAUAUUUCUACAGGGUUUCACAGCUUCUGUCAACUUGUCAGAAAGCAAGGAGAUAUUGUGAUAGCUGAUUGGCGAGAAUAUUGGAAAACAGCCUAAUUUGUAUCUUAUUGUUAUUAAUACCAGCAAUUAAAGGGAGUUAUUGUCGGCAAAAUCUUGGUUAUUGUUUCUGCAAAUCGAAAACUUAUUUUGAUCCAUAACAAUCGUGUUGGUUAAAGGUAA
Raphanus sativus (radish) is the source of this 1811-nucleotide long non-coding RNA. RefSeq lists it as uncharacterized. The record is from RefSeq and is a predicted model, not a curated record. Lineage: Eukaryota; Viridiplantae; Streptophyta; Magnoliopsida; Brassicales; Brassicaceae. The transcript is spliced from 8 exons.